This is a long non-coding RNA of Fundulus heteroclitus (mummichog), 217 nucleotides long. RefSeq lists it as uncharacterized. NCBI's taxonomy places the organism in Eukaryota, Metazoa, Chordata, Actinopteri, Cyprinodontiformes, Fundulidae. The record is from RefSeq and is a predicted model, not a curated record. The transcript has 5 exons.
GACCUGCUUUAAAAGAGAAGGAAACUGAAGCCUUGCAGCAAAGGACUCAAGAGAUGGACACACAUGAACAAAAGCAACAUGAUUUAAGACCUGCUCUAAAAGAAACGGAAACUGAGGCUGAAGCUGAAGCCUUGCAGCAAAGGACCCUAGAGAUGGAUACACAUGAACAAAAGGAACAUGACUUAAGAUCUGCUUUAAAAGAGAAGGAAACUGAAGC